This 385-nucleotide unclassified non-coding RNA is filed under the name Hevea brasiliensis (rubber tree). The record is from RNAcentral. Lineage: Eukaryota; Viridiplantae; Streptophyta; Magnoliopsida; Malpighiales; Euphorbiaceae.
AAAAAAUUAUUCUUUUCUUAGUCUUAAAAAAAAGAUAGAAAAGCUAAGCUGCUAGAAAUUAUUAUCUCCUGUUUCUAGUGAUGUCAAGCAGCAAAGGGAAAGAUGUAGCAGAAGGAUCAUCAAGAUCAGGUGGUGGUGUUGGUGGUAAUGCUACUGAUCAGCAGAACCCACCUCCGUUGAGCCGGUACGAAUCACAGAAACGCCGAGAUUGGAACACUUUCGGGCAGUACCUGAGGAACCAGCGGCCACCGGUUGCGCUAUCUCAAUGCAACGCCAACCAUGUUCUUGAUUUUCUUCGGUACCUGGAUCAAUUUGGCAAGACUAAGGUGCACUUACAAGGAUGUGUGUUUUUUGGACAGCCAGAGCCACCAGGUCCUUGUACUUG